UUCGAAAAUAUUAGGGACCCUAAAAUUAAAUCAAUUUUUGUUAUACAGUGGCAUUGUUGCACUAAAAGGACAUCUUACGAAAUCUGUAUACAACAAUUUUCUUUUAUUUUUUGUUGGGAUACACUGUUUAGCCAGUUCAGAUCUUUAUCAAAGUCAUGCUGAUAUGGAAUCUAUCUUACGCGCCUUUGUAAAAAAUGCUAUAAAAAUUUAUGGCAGAGGUUUUAUUAGCUACAAUGUACACAGCCUAAUACACAUUGCAAGUGAUGUAAAAAGAUUUGGAUCUGUUUAUAAUUACUCUGCAUUUCUGUUUGAAAAUUUUCUAGGGUAUUUAAAGCAUUUAAUACAUAAACCUUAUUUACCAUAUCAACAGGUUAUCCGGCGUAUAUCUGAAAGAAAUGGAUCAAUUAUAAGAAACUCUGAUAAAUGUAUGAAGGAAGGCAUUCCCAGGAAGCUGCUUGAAAAUGGUCCUAUUGUUUUAAGAGCACAAACAGAAUGUCUACAGUAUCAAGAAAUUACUUUAAAUGGAAUUUUUUACUCUACUUCAAAAGGAAACAAUUGCAUAAAAAUAAAAAAUGACUUUUGUUUAAUUUGUAACUUUAAAAUUUCAUGGUGAUAAUAGGCAUUUUAUUGUUUAUGAAAAAUUUCUUACUAUUGAACAUUUCUUUAGAUAUCCUGCAAAUUCUUUCGAAUGUUUUGGUAUAGUAAAGGUCUCUAAGUUAUCAUGUCAGUAUGAAUCUGCCACAACAGAUGAAAUACAGAAAAAAUAUGUUAUACUACCAUGCAAGUCCAAAUUUGUUUGUAUUCCUCUGCCUAUGAAGCCUCAAAUGCAUAAAUAAUAAACUGGAAUUUUUUUUUUUCUUUUUUUGCUAAAUUUUUGUAUUAGCGCUCAUUUGCAUAUCAGUAUUAGUAUUUGGUAUUACUGAUUUUUAUGUUUAUCUUUUUAUUUCAGUUAGUAAUGUAAUAUUUAGUUGAAUUUGAGGAUAAAGUGGCGGUGGUUCCUGAUUGCUGGUUGUUACAAGAAUCAGCUACAUGUUAUUGGCCUCAGGGAAUUGGUGCUAAACAAUGGUCAAAAAUGAAAAAGUUAUUAAUUCCUAAUCACAAAGAUUGGCUUCUUUAUUCUUAUAUAAGAAUAUUGAAAAUUGGAGACUAUGAAAAAAUGAAAAAGGCAGAGGCUAAAUCUUUGCACUACACAAAUUUUUCUUCAAGUUGUUCGGAAAUAAAACAUGAUUUGAAGAGGAAAAAUUUGCAAACACAAUGGAGUCCUGACAUUUCAAUUGAGAAAAAGGUAAAAAAGUGAAAAUUCGAAAAUCAAGAAAAAGAAAAAAUCAUGUAGACAGUCAACUUCAACCACUUCCACAGAUCGAGUUGAUAAACCUUCAGCUAGUUCUAGCACAGACAUCAUAUCUUCAAUUCGAGGUAAUGGCAAUGGUUCAAUGUUGUAGUUUAUUAAAGAAAUCCACUAGCUGUUUUGGCCUCAGGGAAUAGGUGCCACAAAAUAGGCAAAAUAAGAAAUGCACUCAUAUUAAAUAAUAAACACUGACCUAUCUAUCCAUAAUUAUGGUUAUUGAAAAGUAGCGGGUUCGAGCUCAAGCUAAGAAGAAGAACUACAAACGCCACAAACGAUGAUGCAUUAAUCACUUCCUACACCACUACAUCUAUAUGUCUAAUUGUACUUACAUUUCACAAAAGGUUUGGUAAACCAGAGCUGAAAGCUGAUGUUAAUGAGCAGUGGCAGAAACAAGCCUGCAUCGGACAAACCAUUAAUGCACCUCUCUCAGAUGCCUUGACUUUUCCACUCCAAGAGAUAAAUGAUCUUCUGGAAAAUCAACCCAAUUGCAAGAUUCUGAGUAGUGAUCAAGAACAAUAAGCUAUAUUUUAUUAAUUUGUGUUUUUUUAUAUCUCUAUUUUAAUAAAUUGUUUAAUAUUUUUUUAAUAUAAUCUGUUAUAUAAUUGUAGAAAUAAUAAUUAUAUAUUUUCUUGCUAUAAUACAUCAAUAAGAUAACCUAAAUGCUUAUUUUAUUGAUGUAUGUUAGCAAGAAAAUAUAUAAAUAUUAUUUAUUGUUGUUAAUCAGAGUAUUAGACUUCUGUGUAGUCAAUUUUUCAUGUGCUGACCAUUAAAUUAAGUGGCUUUUCCUUGCCAUUAGAGGAAUUUUUUUUGGUAAAUUAUUGUGUAAGGUUGGUAUCGGUAAAAAUAUUGUGGAACUGAAUAUCCAAACAAAAUAGAGUCCAGUUCUCAAAAUUAGGAUACAGGUACCCAGGUAAUUGGAUCCAAAUCUUGUAUCCAACUAUGUCCUACACAUCAGGGUUUUACUCUGGUUUUAAAAUUAAAGUGUCAUAUUUCUAAACAUCUCAGAUGUCCUUUUACUUUAAACUAAAAAUUACAAUGAUACUCUCAUUUUAACACCAGAUUAAAACCCUAAUUUAUACACAGGUGAUCUGUGUGAUGGUGGAUUAAAGUUUUAUUUUGAUAGAUAGAUUUUUAUUUUUUCUAUUUUCUGUUUAUCUCUGAUUACUCUUGGUAUUUGUUUAUGCAGGUGCAGUAAGAAAACUAUCCCUAAGCGACAAUAAGUCAACCGGACGAGAUGCUGCCAAAAUGGCUAUCAAGUUCAAUUGACAUGGAUGGUCUCGAAAAAAUCGCUAGGAGAGGCGUAGAGGAAAGUUCUUUAGAAGAUAUUUAAUUUUUAUAUUAAAUGUAAUGAAGUGUUUUUUAUAAUGUGUUUAUUUUCUUUUUUACAUUGCUAUUUUAUUGGAUAUUAGUUGAGAAUAUUUAUCGAAUAAAUUUCUUUUAUAUGA
Molecule: non-coding RNA, 2793 nt
Organism: Hydra vulgaris (swiftwater hydra)
Lineage: Eukaryota; Metazoa; Cnidaria; Hydrozoa; Anthoathecata; Hydridae
Source: RefSeq, a predicted model, not a curated record